GCUCAGCGGUUAAGAGCACUGGCUGUUCUUCCAGAGGACCUGGGUUCAAUUCCCAG
RNAcentral lists this transfer RNA (56 nucleotides) under Mesocricetus auratus (golden hamster). Lineage: Eukaryota; Metazoa; Chordata; Mammalia; Rodentia; Cricetidae. The record is from Rfam by way of RNAcentral.